Molecule: ribosomal RNA, 511 nt
Filed under: Lactiplantibacillus plantarum
Lineage: Bacteria; Bacillati; Bacillota; Bacilli; Lactobacillales; Lactobacillaceae
Description: bacterial SSU rRNA
Rfam family: Bacterial small subunit ribosomal RNA
Source: RNAcentral
GGCGAACUGGUGAGUAACACGUGGGAAACCUGCCCAGAAGCGGGGGAUAACACCUGGAAACAGAUGCUAAUACCGCAUAACAACUUGGACCGCAUGGUCCGAGUUUGAAAGAUGGCUUCGGCUAUCACUUUUGGAUGGUCCCGCGGCGUAUUAGCUAGAUGGUGGGGUAACGGCUCACCAUGGCAAUGAUACGUAGCCGACCUGAGAGGGUAAUCGGCCACAUUGGGACUGAGACACGGCCCAAACUCCUACGGGAGGCAGCAGUAGGGAAUCUUCCACAAUGGACGAAAGUCUGAUGGAGCAACGCCGCGUGAGUGAAGAAGGGUUUCGGCUCGUAAAACUCUGUUGUUAAAGAAGAACAUAUCUGAGAGUAACUGUUCAGGUAUUGACGGUAUUUAACCAGAAAGCCACGGCUAACUACGUGCCAGCAGCCGCGGUAAUACGUAGGUGGCAAGCGUUGUCCGGAUUUAUUGGGCGUAAAGCGAGCGCAGGCGGUUUUUUAAGUCUGAUG